CGAGUGAAGCGGCAAAAGCUCAAAUUUGAAAUCUAGCACCUUCGGUGUUCGAGUUGUAAUUUGAAGAUGGUAACCUUGGGUUUGGCUCUUGUCUAUGUUCCUUGGAACAGGACGUCAUAGAGGGUGAGAAUCCCGUCUGAUGAGAUGCCCAUUCCUAUGUAAGGUGCUAUCGAAGAGUCGAGUUGUUUGGGAAUGCAGCUCUAAGUGGGUGGUAAAUUCCAUCUAAAGCUAAAUAUUGGCGAGAGACCGAUAGCGAACAAGUACAGUGAUGGAAAGAUGAAAAGAACUUUGAAAAGAGAGUGAAAAAGUACGUGAAAUUGUUGAAAGGGAAGGGCAUUAGAUCAGACUUGGUGUUUUACGAUUAUCUUCUCUUCUUGAGUUGUGCACUCGUAUUUCACUGGGCCAGCAUCGAUUCGGAUGGCAAGAUAAUGGCAGUUGAAUGUGGCUUCACUUCGGUGGAGUGUUAUAGCUUCUGCUGAUAUUGCCUGUCUGGAUCGAGGGCUGCGUCUUUUGACUAGGAUGCUGGCGUAAUGAUCUAAUGCCGCG
This 546-nucleotide ribosomal RNA is filed under the name Wickerhamomyces sp. RNAcentral describes it as "eukaryotic LSU rRNA". It matches the Rfam family "Eukaryotic large subunit ribosomal RNA", at positions 90 to 649 of the family's 3401-position model. Lineage: Eukaryota; Fungi; Ascomycota; Saccharomycetes; Phaffomycetales; Wickerhamomycetaceae. The record is from RNAcentral.